UUUUUAAUAACCGUCCAUUUGCCCCGAUCUAACGGUGAUAAUUAGACGGAACCAAACUGACGGAACCAAAAUUACGGGACCGGAACCAAAUUCGGUGGGACCGGAAUCUCAAAUAUUAUUUGAGAAUAUUAUAAAAUACAAACGUCCUUUUAAGCGGUCAAAUCAGAUGAUGAUACUACAUAAAUCUUAAAGCAACAAAAAAUUGAUCAUAUAAGCUCGUACUGUUCUCGCCAAAAAUUUAAUACUAACUCACCGGCCAAAUCUCCCACUCUCUCAUCCUCUCCGUCUCUCAUCUCUCACUCUCGCUGGAUGUGGUCUGCCCCAGCGACGGAGGAGAGGGCACGGGCCUCCCGACGAGCCGCGCGACGAAGGGGAGGGGGCACGUCGGAGGGGAGUGGAAGGGGACAGAGAGGAGGGGGCCGCGUUGGAGGGAAGAGGAAGGCGACAUAGAGGAGGGGAAGAUGACGGACCAGUCCCGGCGACGGAGGGGAGGGGACGGCGACGAACUGAAGCGUCUGAGGCGGCGUCCACAGUGGUCUCUCCCGUCGAUCUCCGCGACGGAGGGCAACGCGGGGUGGAGGGGACAGCGGAGGCACCCGGCGAGGGGAGGAGCGGCGGCGUUGGUCGAAGCCAACGAGGGGAGGAGCGGCGGCUGCGGCGUUUGUCGAGACCAGCGAGGGGAGGAGCAGCGGCUGCGGCGUUGGAUAUGGCCGGCGAGGGGAGGAGCAGUGGCGGCGGUGGACAUUAAUAUCAUGUAAGUUACAGCUCCUUGUAAGUUUGUCCCGUCUUGCUGAAGCUCUAUUUUUCAGAACAUCCUUUCUGCAACCAAUGAUGAAAGCUUGCAAGUGCAGCGGGAAAUAAUACCAAUCAACAGCAGAUGGUGAUAAGUCACUACUAACCCUGUUGUUCCCAGGUGAACACAGCAGGAACAUCUAUUGCAUUGGCAGAAGAAUCACCGGAUGUUGGUACGUUAGUGUUUGCUGGCUAAAGAACAUCUAUUGAAUUCCCUAGCAGGAAAGUUCUAGGCCCAUCACUUUGUACAAAAAAUUAAUGCAAUACAUGUCUAGAUGAUCAUGUUCUUUUUCUCAAACUCUCAGUUAACGUUUGCUGGCUUUAAUUUAGAUAUGCAAAUGAGGGCAACUUUUCUUGUUUAGUACCCUGUUUCCGAGGGAUGAGGCGCUGUUGGCUAUUUGCUGGUGGCGAAGAGUGCGCAAUCGUCGCGACUCGCAUGUGCUGGAUCAAUGGCGCUUGACAACAGCGAGGUGUAGAUGGUGACAUGCACAUCAGAGUCGAGUAGUGUUGACGCGAGGCGGCAGCAAGUACGGGCGAGUCAGUACUAUGAGUCACUUCUGCUAGAAGCCAAAGCGAAGAAUGAGCGAGAAGUUCUACUGGUACUGCGAAAGAUGUGGGCAUUAAACUCCAAUAGUUACAGACAAAGAUUGAUAGUUGACUAAACUUCCAUCAUUAUCUGAGAAAGUUGUAUAGUUAUAUAGAUCAAAGGGGGCUAUGUACUAUAAAUACACUAUUAGAGGUAGGGAAAAGGCUAAAUUCGCCGGAUGAGCGUAGAUGAUAACAAAUUUUGGAAUUUGUUCCGAUGAAUGGUGACAACAUCAGUACCUCGUGAUCUUCCGAUGCCUAGUUAUCAAAAGGAUUGAACGAUUUAACG
Molecule: long non-coding RNA, 1666 nt
Organism: Lolium perenne
Lineage: Eukaryota; Viridiplantae; Streptophyta; Magnoliopsida; Poales; Poaceae
Source: RefSeq, a predicted model, not a curated record